This 772-nucleotide ribosomal RNA is filed under the name Pseudovibrio sp. AU141. RNAcentral's name for it is "bacterial SSU rRNA". It matches the Rfam family "Bacterial small subunit ribosomal RNA", at positions 93 to 902 of the family's 1533-position model. The record is from RNAcentral. Lineage: Bacteria; Pseudomonadati; Pseudomonadota; Alphaproteobacteria; Hyphomicrobiales; Stappiaceae.
UAGUGGCAGACGGGUGAGUAACGCGUGGGAAGCUACCUUGUGGUAGGGGACAACAGUUGGAAACGACUGCUAAUACCCUAUGAGCCCUAUGGGGGAAAGAUUUAUCGCCAUGAGAUGUGCCCGCGUUAGAUUAGCUAGUUGGUAAGGUAAUGGCUUACCAAGGCGACGAUCUAUAGCUGGUCUGAGAGGAUGAUCAGCCACACUGGGACUGAGACACGGCCCAGACUCCUACGGGAGGCAGCAGUGGGGAAUAUUGGACAAUGGGGGCAACCCUGAUCCAGCCAUGCCGCGUGUGUGAUGACGGCCUUAGGGUUGUAAAGCACUUUCAGCAGUGAAGAUAAUGACAUUAACUGCAGAAGAAGCCCCGGCUAACUUCGUGCCAGCAGCCGCGGUAAUACGAAGGGGGCUAGCGUUGUUCGGAAUCACUGGGCGUAAAGAGUACGUAGGCGGACUGAUAAGUUAGGGGUGAAAUCCCAAGGCUCAACCUUGGAACUGCCUUUGAUACUGUCAGUCUUGAGAUCGAGAGAGGUGAGUGGAACUCCGAGUGUAGAGGUGAAAUUCGUAGAUAUUCGGAAGAACACCAGUGGCGAAGGCGGCUCACUGGCUCGAUACUGACGCUGAGGUACGAAAGCGUGGGGAGCGGACAGGAUUAGAGACCCUGGUAGUCCACGCCGUACACGAUGAAUGCUAGUUGUCAGGUAGCUUGCUAUUUGGUGACGCAGCUACGCAUUAAGCAUUCCGCCUGGGGAGUACGGUCGCAAGAUUAAAACUC